This 234-nucleotide unclassified non-coding RNA is filed under the name air metagenome. RNAcentral describes it as "partial contains small subunit ribosomal RNA, internal transcribed spacer 1, and 5.8S ribosomal RNA". The stretch from base 1 to 46 matches the Rfam family "Eukaryotic small subunit ribosomal RNA", at positions 1786 to 1831 of the family's 1831-position model. The record is from RNAcentral.
AAGUCGUAACAAGGUUUCCGUAGGUGAACCUGCGGAAGGAUCAUUACAGAGUUCCUGCCCUCACGGGUAGAAACCCCACCCUUGUGUAUGUUAUAUUUGUUGCUUUGACAGGCCGCCUUUAGGCGCUGGCUUCGGCUGUGCUGUGCCUGUCAGAGAACCCCAAACUUUGAAUGUUAGUGUCGUCUGAGUACUAUAUAAUAGUUAAAACUUUCAACAACGGAUCUCUUGGUUCUG